Long non-coding RNA from Chiroxiphia lanceolata (lance-tailed manakin), 1041 nucleotides. RefSeq lists it as uncharacterized. The record is from RefSeq and is a predicted model, not a curated record. Lineage: Eukaryota; Metazoa; Chordata; Aves; Passeriformes; Pipridae. The transcript is spliced from 2 exons.
GAUCAGUAACUGCUUUAUGUCGGAGGCCUUUGUUGGAUUUCAGGCUCAGUGUGACUCAGAACGUGGUACUCCUGCUAACUAAGAAGACGGGUGAGCAGUGCCCAUGAUGAAGAGCCCAUUUUGUUGCCACACUCAGCUCCUGCAGAGAAAUGUGGAAAGAGUGUGGUCUGGAAUGAUCUGCUGAUAAGUGGGAAGGAGCAGAAGGAUCAAGUGGGAACACCAAAAACCUUGCCCCUUUCCUGACUCUGCUAAUGACCAGCUCCAAGGGACUUCCCUGAUCCUUGUCCAGGCUCAUAUCCUGGCAAACACUGGUCUCCUGGGUCAUCCCUGACCCAGCCAGUGACAGUCCAGGAGGUCUGGGCAUGGGUGGGGAGCUGUGAGCUGGCUGUGCUUUCAGUGCUGCCCAAAGAGCCACUUCUGUUAUUUUAAAAUUCAUGUCUUGAUCUUUGAUCAGGAGAGUGUGACCUUGGGGCUCCUUUCCUCAGAGUCAGUGCUUCCUGGCCAGCACUUUGGGCUGACGUGUUUAAAGAAACAAGAGGGUUUGCAAAACACUUCAGCCCUCUGCCUGUCUCCCUCUCUGUGGUAAAACACAAUGUGGGCUCUUCAUACCAGGCUCAGAGAGACAAGCCAGCCUAUUUCUUUGUCUCUCUGGUGUGUGUGGCGCCAGGCUCUGCCAGACUACGAGACAAAGGCCAGCAGUCAUUGAACUGGGAGAAAAAAGCAAUGAAAGCAGUGGAAUUUGGGUGGGAGGGUGAAGAAGCUGCUUCUGCUUCUGCAGCGCUCACAGUGCCAGCAGAGAGAGCAGCGUUGCAGGGAGCAGGUUCCCCAGCUCUGUCCAUGGGCACUGAGUCCAUGUCUGAAGCUACAAACCCAGCAGCCAGAGGUGAGCUUGUUCCUGGCUGAGUUCAGCUGAGGGCCAGACACAGAAAAACUUGUAUAAAAAUAAUGCUGAGAUAACAGCAGUUUGGCAAUUAUUAAAAAUUUUGGAGGCAGGCAGGUUGUAUAAAGACAGAAAAAUAAAUCCAAGUGGUUCACCUUCCA